This 286-nucleotide non-coding RNA is filed under the name Pseudocercospora musae. Its description in RNAcentral is "Mycosphaerella musicola Eukaryotic small subunit ribosomal RNA". It matches the Rfam family "Eukaryotic small subunit ribosomal RNA", at positions 1548 to 1831 of the family's 1831-position model. Lineage: Eukaryota; Fungi; Ascomycota; Dothideomycetes; Mycosphaerellales; Mycosphaerellaceae. The record is from Rfam by way of RNAcentral.
AAUCUUGUUAAACUCUGUCGUGCUGGGGAUAGAGCAUUGCAAUUAUUGCUCUUCAACGAGGAAUGCCUAGUAAGCGCAUGUCAUCAGCAUGCGUUGAUUACGUCCCUGCCCUUUGUACACACCGCCCGUCGCUACUACCGAUUGAAUGGCUCGGUGAGGCCUUCGGACUGGCCCAGGGAGGUCGGCAACGACCACCCAGGGCCGGAAAGUUGGUCAAACCCGGUCAUUUAGAGGAAGUAAAAGUCGUAACAAGGUCUCCGUAGGUGAACCUGCGGAGGGAUCAUUA